Molecule: ribosomal RNA, 464 nt
Filed under: uncultured bacterium
Lineage: Bacteria
Description: partial 16S ribosomal RNA
Rfam family: Bacterial small subunit ribosomal RNA
Source: RNAcentral
GACGAACGCUGGCGGCGUGCUUAACACAUGCAAGUCGAACGAUGAACCGGUUUCGGCCGGGGAUUAGUGGCGAACGGGUGAGUAACACGUGGGCAAUCUGCCCUGCACUCUGGGAUAAGCCCGGGAAACUGGGUCUAAUACCGGAUACGACACUCCGAGGCCUCUUGGGGUGUGGAAAGUUCCGGCGGUGCAGGAUGAGCACGCGGCCUAUUAGCUUGUUGGUGGGGUAGUGGCCUACCAAGGCGACGACGGGUAGCUGGCCUGAGGGGGUGACCGGCCACAUUGGGACUGAGAUACGGCCCAGACUCCUACGGGAGGCAGCAGUGGGGAAUAUUGCACAAUGGGCGGAAGCCUGAUGCAGCAACGCCGCGUGAGGGAUGACGGCCUUCGGGUUGUAAACCGCUUUCGCCUGUGACGAAGCGUGAGUGACGGUAAUGGGUAAAGAAGCACCGGCUAACUACGUG